RNAcentral lists this non-coding RNA (28 nucleotides) under unclassified sequences. RNAcentral's name for it is "L19-Flavobacteria ribosomal protein leader". It matches the Rfam family "L19-Flavobacteria ribosomal protein leader". The record is from RNAcentral.
CAACCUCUGAUCAAAGAGAUGAAUGUUG